This 429-nucleotide ribosomal RNA is filed under the name Gemmatimonadota bacterium. RNAcentral's name for it is "Gemmatimonadetes bacterium partial 16S ribosomal RNA". It matches the Rfam family "Bacterial small subunit ribosomal RNA", at positions 355 to 776 of the family's 1533-position model. Lineage: Bacteria; Pseudomonadati; Gemmatimonadota. The record is from RNAcentral.
UAGGGAAUCUUCGGCAAUGGACGAAAGUCUGACCGAGCAACGCCGCGUGAGUGAAGAAGGUUUUCGGAUCGUAAAACUCUGUUGUUAGAGAAGAACAAGGACGUUAGUAACUGAACGUCCCCUGAUGGUAUCUAACCAGAAAGCCACGGCUAACUACGUGCCAGCAGCCGCGGUAAUACGUAGGUGGCAAGCGUUGUCCGGAUUUAUUGGGCGUAAAGCGAGCGCAGGCGGUUUCUUAAGUCUGAUGUGAAAGCCCCCGGCUCAACCGGGGAGGGUCAUUGGAAACUGGGGGACUUGAGUGCAGAAGGGGGGAGUGGAAUUCCAUGUGUAGCGGUGAAAUGCGUAGAUAUAUGGAGGAACACCAGUGGCGAAGGCGGCUAUCUGGUCUGUAACUGACGCUGAGGCUCGAAAGCGUGGGGAGCAAACAGG